Molecule: ribosomal RNA, 336 nt
Filed under: uncultured eukaryote
Lineage: Eukaryota
Description: partial 18S ribosomal RNA
Rfam family: Eukaryotic small subunit ribosomal RNA
Source: RNAcentral
CCCUUAGAUGUCCGGGGCCGCACGCGCGCUACACUGGAGAGAGCAGCGGGUCUUUUCUCCUAGACCGAAAGGCCCAGGGUAAUCCGCUGAACCCUCUCCGUGCUGGGGAUAGGGACUUGAAAUUAUGUCCCUUGAACGAGGAAUUCCCAGUAAGCGCGAGUCAUCAGCUCGCGUUGAUUACGUCCCUGCCCUUUGUACACACCGCCCGUCGCUACUACCGAUCGAAUGGUUUAGUGAGAUCAUCAGAUCGACCGCCUGGGACCGGCUCUGCCGGUUCCGCGGCGUGACGAGAAGACGACCAAACUUGAUCAUUUAGAGGAAGUAAAAGUCGUAACA